GACGAACGCUGGCGGCGUGCUUAACACAUGCAAGUCGAACGGUGAAGCGCCUUCCUUUUUGGUGGGUGUGGAUGAGUGGCGAACGGGUGAGUAACACGUGAGUAACCUGCCCCCUUCUUCUGGAUAACCGCAUGAAAGUGUGGCUAAUACGGGAUAUUCUGGGUCUGUCGCAUGAUGGGUCUGGGAAAGAUAUUGUUUCGGUGGGGGAUGGGCUCGCGGCCUAUCAGCUUGUUGGUGGGGUGAUGGCCUACCAAGGCGGUGACGGGUAGCCGGCCUGAGAGGGUGGACGGGCACACUGGGACUGAGGCACGGCCCAGACUGCUACGGGAGGCAGCAGUGGGUAAUAUGGGACGAUGGGCGCAAGCCUGAUGCGGCGACGCCGCGUGAGUGAUGGAGGCCUGCGGGUUGUGAACCUCUUUCGCCAGUGAAGCAGGCCUGCCUCGUUUGUGGGUGGGUUGACGGUAGCUGGAUAAGAAGCGCCGGCUAACUACGUG
This 494-nucleotide ribosomal RNA is filed under the name uncultured bacterium. RNAcentral's name for it is "partial 16S ribosomal RNA". It matches the Rfam family "Bacterial small subunit ribosomal RNA", at positions 28 to 507 of the family's 1533-position model. The record is from RNAcentral.